Molecule: transfer RNA, 64 nt
Filed under: Hydroporus planus
Lineage: Eukaryota; Metazoa; Arthropoda; Insecta; Coleoptera; Dytiscidae
Description: tRNA-Cys
Source: RNAcentral
AAUAAUAUAGUUUAAAAAAAAUUUUAAAUUGCAAAUUUAAAGAUAGAUUAUAUUCUUAUUAUUU